CCUGUAUAAAUAAAGGACAGAGCAUGGACACAAUGGAAUUGGGAUCAAGAAGAAGGUAAUGUAGUGGCAGGAUAGCCUAGUGGUUAGAGUGUUGGACUAGUAACCAGAAGGUUGCAAGUUCAAACCCCUGAGCUGACAAAGUACAAAUCUGUUGUUCUACCCCUGAGCAGGCACUGUUCCUAGGCUGUCAUUGAAAAUAAGAAUUUGUUCUUAACUGACUUGCCUAGUAAAAUAAAAGUAGUACAGCUGCAUUUGAAAUGUACAUUUAACCUACAUAGCAGUCAAUACAAACAAAAAUCUAUUAGCAUGCAAAGGUCUUUUCAAAUCUUCUCAGAAAUUAAUCAAGGCCAUGGAAUGGAUAUAGACAAAAAAAUAAUCAAGGACUAGCAGAGGCAGGGGUGAAGACAUCAUCCUGCUAUUUCUGUGAGAUUCUGACCUUUAUUUCCCUUGUUUUGUCUUUAUUUAGUAUGGUCAGGGCGUGAGUUGGGGUGGGCAGUCUGUUUGUGUUUCUAUGUUUUUUCUAUUUCUGUGUUUGGCCUGAUAUGGUUCUCAAUCAGAGGCAGCUGUUUAUCGUUGUCCCUGAUUGAGAACCAUAUUUCGAUAGCCUGGGUUUCACUGUUGGUUUGUGGGUGUUUGUUUCCGUAUGUGUGUUUGUCGCCACACGGUACUGGUUCGGUUAUGGCACAUAUUCGUUUAUUGUUUUUUUGAUAGUGUUCAGUGCUUUUCUUAUUAAAAUCGUCAUGAACACUUUAUCACGCCGCAUCUUGGUGCGAUCCUUACUCCAAUUCAGACGAAGAGGAAAUCUGCCGUUACAAUUUCAACAGUCCCUGAAGGACAAUACAGAAGCGGCACACAGGGGACUCGAGACCACAGCAGCGAUCCUGCUCUUGCCCUACCUCUUCAAUGAGGACCCGAGUGGCCUUUGUAUGUCCGUGACAAGAUUUCACCGCUCCCCACUCCUUUACUGCACAUCGACGGAAAAUCCCGCUGGCCUUUGAUGGGGAGAACAUGCACGCCCUAGAGGACAUUCCCAUGGGACUUGUGGCUCUGCUAGGGCUUUUAUUUCCCAAAGAUUUCUGAGAAGCACUUAUAUUCUUAAAUUACUGUGUUCUGGGGGUGAAGUUACCAGGGCCGGUCAUAAAGAUGGCAAACUUCCUAAUAUAACUAAGUGGUUUAGGACAGACGCACACUCAAGCAAAAAAAUCUGUAUUUAGCAUUAAGUCUACAAUAUUGUUAGUUUACCUAUGCUUCAUUUUUAAUGUAUCUUGUUUUUAUUGUAAAUUAUUUAAAAUAAAAAAUUGUAAUGAAAAGCA
This is a long non-coding RNA of Oncorhynchus keta (chum salmon), 1313 nucleotides long. RefSeq lists it as uncharacterized. The transcript has 4 exons. The record is from RefSeq and is a predicted model, not a curated record. Lineage: Eukaryota; Metazoa; Chordata; Actinopteri; Salmoniformes; Salmonidae.